This is a small nucleolar RNA of Elaeis guineensis (African oil palm), 94 nucleotides long. RefSeq annotates it as small nucleolar RNA R11/Z151. Lineage: Eukaryota; Viridiplantae; Streptophyta; Magnoliopsida; Arecales; Arecaceae. The record is from RefSeq and is a predicted model, not a curated record.
CGGCUGAUGAUGAUUGAUCUCAAAGAUCUUAGCGGAUUUCAGAGAGGCCGCGCGUCGAUGAUCUGAUCUCUUGUUGUUACACACACUGAAGCCC